Molecule: ribosomal RNA, 370 nt
Filed under: uncultured organism
Description: bacterial SSU rRNA
Rfam family: Bacterial small subunit ribosomal RNA
Source: RNAcentral
CGUAGGGUGCGAGCGUUAAUCGGAAUUACUGGGCGUAAAGCGUGCGCAGGCGGUUAUAUAAGACAGAUGUGAAAUCCCCGGGCUCAACCUGGGAACUGCAUUUGUGACUGUAUAGCUAGAGUACGGCAGAGGGGGAUGGAAUUCCGCGUGUAGCAGUGAAAUGCGUAGAUAUGCGGAGGAACACCGAUGGCGAAGGCAAUCCCCUGGGCCUGUACUGACGCUCAUGCACGAAAGCGUGGGGAGCAAACAGGAUUAGAUACCCUGGUAGUCCACGCCCUAAACGAUGUCAACUGGUUGUUGGGUCUUCACUGACUCAGUAACGAAGCUAACGCGUGAAGUUGACCGCCUGGGGAUACGGCCGACAAGGUUG